RNAcentral lists this transfer-messenger RNA (379 nucleotides) under human gut metagenome. It matches the Rfam family "transfer-messenger RNA". From Rfam's summary of the family: Bacterial tmRNA, also known as 10Sa RNA or SsrA, is named for its dual tRNA and mRNA-like properties. Its role is to liberate the mRNA from a stalled ribosome. The record is from RNAcentral.
GGGGAUGCUUAGGUUUCGACAGAAAUAUUUAGGAUUAAAUUGCAAGUGGAAGGUACGCCUUAAGUACAAAAAAAAAUAAACGCAAACAAAGUAAAAAAUGCAUUUGCUUCAAUGUUCACUAAGAACGCUGUAGCAUUCGCCUAAUUAGAAUAAAGGCAUGCGCUUCUUUUAAUUUUUUUCCUAUUGGAAUUUAAAGAGGCUCGAUUAAAAUAGGAUAUAUUAUUAUCUAGUCUUGAGGUAAUAAUGAAUUUAAAAGACUUACUAAAUGAUUAGUUGUUCACUACUUAGAUUAUUUAGGACAUUAAAUAGUGAACUAAACUUGUAGAUAUUUCUUCUCACGUAUUUUUGGACAGGAGUUCGAUUCUCCUCAUCUCCACCA